Molecule: small nuclear RNA, 100 nt
Filed under: Catagonus wagneri (Chacoan peccary)
Lineage: Eukaryota; Metazoa; Chordata; Mammalia; Artiodactyla; Tayassuidae
Source: RNAcentral
GUGCUCUCUUCGGCAACACAUACACUAAAAUUGGAAAGAUGCAGAGAUUAGCAUGGCCUUUAUGCAAGGACUCACAAAUUCGGAAGCAUUCCACAUUGUA